RNAcentral lists this unclassified non-coding RNA (371 nucleotides) under uncultured Ascobolus. RNAcentral describes it as "sequence contains ITS2". The stretch from base 1 to 154 matches the Rfam family "5.8S ribosomal RNA". The record is from RNAcentral. Lineage: Eukaryota; Fungi; Ascomycota; Pezizomycetes; Pezizales; Ascobolaceae.
AACUUUUGACAACGGAUCUCUAGGUUCUCGCAUCGAUGAAGAACGCAGCGAAAUGCGAUAAGUAGUGUGAAUUGCAGAUUUCAGUGAAUCAUCGAAUCUUUGAACGCACAUUGCGCCCUUUGGUAUUCCGAAGGGCAUGCCUGUCUGAGCGUCAAUAAAUCAAUCAAACUUUAGUUUGGUAUUGGGAGAAGUGGUUUUGCCUCUCUCCUUUAAGCUAUUGGCGACGCUAUUUCAGCUUGUAAGACGUAGUAAGUAAUUCCUCGUCAAAGCAACUGAGUGGUUGUCUGCCAACUGAACGAUUUAUUUUACAGCUUGACCUCAGAUCAGGUAGGGAUACCCCCUGAACUUAAGCAUAUCAAUAAGCGGAGGCU